UGUUCACAAAUGUUAUCCUCGGGGGAAGGUGGAUAAGGCAUGAAACAAAAUUGGUGCAUGCCAUGGUUCCUUGGAAAACGAAUUGCUGGUCAUCUCUCUCUUCGGCCACAAAAAUUGGAUUUAAAGUGUUAGACCAAGACAAAGGUUUGUUACUGUCUCAAACUUCAAUUAAACCAAAACUUCAUGUAAUUACAUGCUUACCAAUCACAUAAAUACUUUCUUUUGGCUAGGAUUUUGAUUCCUAUAUGUUUAUGGUUACCUCUUUCACAAGUAUCAGGCCACUUUCAAUACUCUCCAUAUAUAUGCAUAAUAUUACUACCUUGAUUUUCUAUUUUUAAUUUUUCAGGGACUUCUUGAAAACAUGAAAGAGAUGCUGGAUUGGUUUGGAAAAUGACAGAGGAUUGCUUAGGUUAAUUAGUUUGUCUUGUCUUUAUAAGUAUGAACAUCAUAUGGUUGCUUAGAUUAACUUAGAAGUUAGUUUUGGUGGGUGAGACUUAUGUAUUGAAUAUCUAUAUGUAUGUACAAUUGUAUAUUAUUCAUGUUAUAUUAGAAAAGUACUUGAUAUUA
Molecule: long non-coding RNA, 567 nt
Organism: Trifolium pratense (red clover)
Lineage: Eukaryota; Viridiplantae; Streptophyta; Magnoliopsida; Fabales; Fabaceae
Exons: 2
Source: RefSeq, a predicted model, not a curated record